UUAAGCGACUAAGCGUACACGGUGGAUGCCCUGGCAGUCAGAGGCGAUGAAGGACGUGCUAAUCUGCGAAAAGCGUCGGUAAGGUGAUAUGAACCGUUAUAACCGGCGAUGUCCGAAUGGGGAAACCCAGUGCAAUUCGUUGCACUAUCGUUAACUGAAUACAUAGGUUAACGAGGCGAACCGGGGGAACUGAAACAUCUAAGUACCCCGAGGAAAAGAAAUCAACCGAGAUUCCCCCAGUAGCGGCGAGCGAACGGGGAGCAGCCCAGAGUCUGAAUCAGCUUGUGUGUUAGUGGAACGGUCUGGAAAGUCCGACGGUACAGGGUGAUAGUCCCGUACACCAAAAUGCACAGGUUGUGAACUCGAAGAGUAGGGCGGGACACGUGGUAUCCUGUCUGAAUAUGGGGGGACCAUCCUCCAAGGCUAAAUACUCCUGACUGACCGAUAGUGAACCAGUACCGUGAGGGAAAGGCGAAAAGAACCCCGGCGAGGGGAGUGAAAAAGAACCUGAAACCGUGUACGUACAAGCAGUGGGAGCACCUUCGGGUGUGACUGCGUACCUUUUGUAUAAUGGGUCAGCGACUUAUAUUCUGUAGCAAGGUUAACCGUAUAGGGGAGCCGCAGGGAAACCGAGUCUUAACUGGGCGUUAAGUUGCAGGGUAUAGACCCGAAACCCGGUGAUCUAGCCAUGGGCAGGUUGAAGGUUGGGUAACACUAACUGGAGGACCGAACCGACUAAUGUUGAAAAAUUAGCGGAUGACUUGUGGCUGGGGGUGAAAGGCCAAUCAAACCGGGAGAUAGCUGGUUCUCCCCGAAAGCUAUUUAGGUAGCGCCUCGUGAACUCAUCUUCGGGGGUAGAGCACUGUUUCGGCUAGGGGGUCAUCCCGACUUACCAACCCGAUGCAAACUACGAAUACCGAAGAAUGUUAUCACGGGAGACACACGGCGGGUGCUAACGUCCGUCGUGAAGAGGGAAACAACCCAGACCGCCAGCUAAGGUCCCAAAGUCAUGGUUAAGUGGGAAACGAUGUGGGAAGGCACAGACAGCCAGGAUGUUGGCUUAGAAGCAGCCAUCAUUUAAAGAAAGCGUAAUAGCUCACUGGUCGAGUCGGCCUGCGCGGAAGAUGUAACGGGGCUAAACCAUGCACCGAAGCUGCGGCAGCGACACUAUGUGUUGUUGGGUAGGGGAGCGUUCUGUAAGCCUGCGAAGGUGACCUGUGAGGGUUGCUGGAGGUAUCAGAAGUGCGAAUGCUGACAUAAGUAACGAUAAAGCGGGUGAAAAGCCCGCUCGCCGGAAGACCAAGGGUUCCUGUCCAACGUUAAUCGGGGCAGGGUGAGUCGACCCCUAAGGCGAGGCCGAAAGGCGUAGUCGAUGGGAAACAGGUUAAUAUUCCUGUACUUGGUGUUACUGCGAAGGGGGGACGGAGAAGGCUAUGUUAGCCGGGCGACGGUUGUCCCGGUUUAAGCAUGUAGGCUGGUUAUCCAGGCAAAUCCGGAUAAUCAAGGCUGAGGUGUGAUGACGAGGCACUACGGUGCUGAAGUAACAAAUGCCCUGCUUCCAGGAAAAGCCUCUAAGCAUCAGGUAACAUCAAAUCGUACCCCAAACCGACACAGGUGGUCAGGUAGAGAAUACCAAGGCGCUUGAGAGAACUCGGGUGAAGGAACUAGGCAAAAUGGUGCCGUAACUUCGGGAGAAGGCACGCUGGUGUGUAGGUGAAGCCCCUGCGGGUGGAGCUGAGACCAGUCGAAGAUACCAGCUGGCUGCAACUGUUUAUUAAAAACACAGCACUGUGCAAACACGAAAGUGGACGUAUACGGUGUGACGCCUGCCCGGUGCCGGAAGGUUAAUUGAUGGGGUUAUCCGUAAGGAGAAGCUCUUGAUCGAAGCCCCGGUAAACGGCGGCCGUAACUAUAACGGUCCUAAGGUAGCGAAAUUCCUUGUCGGGUAAGUUCCGACCUGCACGAAUGGCGUAAUGAUGGCCAGGCUGUCUCCACCCGAGACUCAGUGAAAUUGAACUCGCUGUGAAGAUGCAGUGUACCCGCGGCAAGACGGAAAGACCCCGUGAACCUUUACUAUAGCUUGACACUGAACAUUGAGCCUUGAUGUGUAGGAUAGGUGGGAGGCUUUGAAGCGUGGACGCCAGUCUGCGUGGAGCCAACCUUGAAAUACCACCCUUUAAUGUUUGAUGUUCUAACGUUGGCCCCUGACCGGGGUUGCGGACAGUGUCUGGUGGGUAGUUUGACUGGGGCGGUCUCCUCCCAAAGCGUAACGGAGGAGCACGAAGGUUAGCUAAUCCUGGUCGGACAUCAGGAGGUUAGUGCAAUGGCAUAAGCUAGCUUGACUGCGAGCGUGACGGCGCGAGCAGGUGCGAAAGCAGGUCAUAGUGAUCCGGUGGUUCUGAAUGGAAGGGCCAUCGCUCAACGGAUAAAAGGUACUCCGGGGAUAACAGGCUGAUACCGCCCAAGAGUUCAUAUCGACGGCGGUGUUUGGCACCUCGAUGUCGGCUCAUCACAUCCUGGGGCUGAAGUAGGUCCCAAGGGUAUGGCUGUUCGCCAUUUAAAGUGGUACGCGAGCUGGGUUUAGAACGUCGUGAGACAGUUCGGUCCCUAUCUGCCGUGGGCGCUGGAGAAUUGAGGGGGGCUGCUCCUAGUACGAGAGGACCGGAGUGGACGCAUCACUGGUGUUCGGGUUGUCAUGCCAAUGGCACUGCCCGGUAGCUAAAUGCGGAAGAGAUAAGUGCUGAAAGCAUCUAAGCACGAAACUUGCCCCGAGAUGAGUUCUCCCUGAGACUUUAAGUCUCCUGAAGGAACGUUGAAGACGACGACGUUGAUAGGCCGGGUGUGUAAGCGCAGCGAUGCGUUGAGCUAACCGGUACUAAUGAACCGUGAGGCUUAACCUU
RNAcentral lists this ribosomal RNA (2900 nucleotides) under Klebsiella pneumoniae. Its description in RNAcentral is "bacterial LSU rRNA". It matches the Rfam family "Bacterial large subunit ribosomal RNA". The record is from RNAcentral. Lineage: Bacteria; Pseudomonadati; Pseudomonadota; Gammaproteobacteria; Enterobacterales; Enterobacteriaceae.